CCCGGGGAUUAGUGGCGAACGGGUGAGUAACACGUGAGUAACCUGCCCUUGACUCUGGGAUAAGCCUGGGAAACUGGGUCUAAUACCGGAUAUGACUCCUCAUCGCAUGGUGGGGGGUGGAAAGCUUUUGCGGUUUUGGAUGGACUCGCGGCCUAUCAGCUUGUUGGUGAGGUAAUGGCUCACCAAGGCGACGACGGGUAGCCGGCCUGAGAGGGUGACCGGCCACACUGGGACUGAGACACGGCCCAGACUCCUGCGGGAGGCAGCAGUGGGGAAUAUUGCACAAUGGGCGAAAGCCUGAUGCAGCGACGCCGCGUGAGGGAUGACGGCCUUCGGGUUGUAAACCUCUUUCAGUAGGGAAGAAGCGAAAGUGACGGUACCUGCAGAAGAAGCGCCGGCUAACUACGUGCCAGCAGCCGCGGUAAUACGUAGGGCGCAAGCGUUAUCCGGAAUUAUUGGGCGUAAAGAGCUCGUAGGCGGUUUGUCGCGUCUGCCGUGAAAGUCCGGGGCUCAACUCCGGAUCUGCGGUGGGUACGGGCAGACUAGAGUGAUGUAGGGGAGACUGGAAUUCCUGGUGUAGCGGUGAAAUGCGCAGAUAUCAGGAGGAACACCGAUGGCGAAGGCAGGUCUCUGGGCAUUAACUGACGCUGAGGAGCGAAAGCAUGGGGAGCGAACAGGAUUAGAUACCCUGGUAGUCCAUGCCGUAAACGUUGGGCACUAGGUGUGGGGGACAUUCCACGUUUUCCGCGCCGUAGCUAACGCAUUAAGUGCCCCGCCUGGGGAGUACGGCCGCAAGGCUAAAACUCAAAGGAAUUGACGGGGGCCCGCACAAGCGGCGGAGCAUGCGGAUUAAUUCGAUGCAACGCGAAGAACCUUACCAAGGCUUGACAUGGACCCGGACCGCCGCAAAAAAUGUGGUUUCUCCUUUU
Molecule: ribosomal RNA, 929 nt
Filed under: Arthrobacter globiformis
Lineage: Bacteria; Bacillati; Actinomycetota; Actinomycetes; Micrococcales; Micrococcaceae
Description: bacterial SSU rRNA
Rfam family: Bacterial small subunit ribosomal RNA
Source: RNAcentral